Molecule: ribosomal RNA, 253 nt
Filed under: uncultured bacterium
Lineage: Bacteria
Description: partial 16S ribosomal RNA
Rfam family: Bacterial small subunit ribosomal RNA
Source: RNAcentral
UACGUAGGGGGCAAGCGUUGUCCGGAAUCAUUGGGCGUAAAGAGCGUGUAGGCGGCUCGAUAAGUCUGCUGUGAAAGUCCAGGGCUCAACCCUGGAAGGCCGGUGGAAACUGUCGGGCUAGAGUCCGGAAGAGGCGAGUGGAAUUCCCGGUGUAGCGGUGAAAUGCGUAGAGAUGUGGAGGAACACCAGUGGCGAAGGCGGCUUUUUGGUCUGUAACUGACGCUGAGGCGCGAAAGCGUGGGGAGCAAACAGG